CAAUAGCGUAUAUUAAAGUUGUUGCAGUUAAAAAGCUCGUAGUUGGAUUUCUGGUCGGAAGCUCCUGUCCUCUGAUGAGCGUACAAGUGCGUCCUACCAUCCUUCUGUUAACCUUUAAGGCUUUCGCGGCUUUCUAGGGGCUCAGAUAUUUUACCUUGAGAAAAUUAGAGUGUCUCAGGCAGGCUAGCGCCGGAAUACAUUAGCAUGGAAUAAUGGAAUAGGACUUUUGCCUCUUCUGUUGGUCAUGAGGCUCGAGUAAUGAUUAAUAGGGAUAGUUGGGGGCAUUAGUACUUAACUGUCAGAGGUGAAAUUCUCGGAUUUGUUAAAGACUAACUUAUGCGAAAGCAUUUGCCAAGGAUGUUUNCAUUAA
Molecule: ribosomal RNA, 370 nt
Filed under: uncultured eukaryote
Lineage: Eukaryota
Description: partial 18S ribosomal RNA
Rfam family: Eukaryotic small subunit ribosomal RNA
Source: RNAcentral